GUCUUGUUUGCAGAUUUGCAGUGAACGGUCGUUUGACGACAUAUUUUAGGUUUGGCCGUGAGUUUACAACAGAAACUAUCUUGUGCGAUCGUUUCUGCAUCGCAGCACGAUGUCGUAGUCAAUCUGGGCCGAUGUGGUGCCCUGAACAGUGCUUCCUGCUAGUGGCGGGAACGUCCGACGUCCGAUAAGAUCAUUUGGUGGGGCACCUGCAGUAGCGACUUCGUCCAGGAGUAUGAACGACAUCUGGGCGCGGUAAACUCGAUCACCUUGAACGACUAAAACCAGCUCUUGACGACCUCCGACGACGGCAUGGAUUGGCGUCGUCAAAGUCUACAUCUGUUUCACGACCUGUACGAGCAGCUGAGUGCCUACCUAAGCUGGUCCGAAUCCACCUGGAGGUUUUACUGGUUUAAUACUGGUUCUUUUGCAGACCAACAGUAUCGCCGUGCGCUGAUUCUUGAGUUUCUCUUGCUCCUCGCGGAUACGAAUAGUUUCGUGGAGGGAGGUCCACUGUUGAAUCUGGACCACCGCGAGGACAGCAUCGCCUAUGCUGGCGGAGUUCUUCAAGGACGGGCAACUCCAAGUUGAACAUUCCCGAGCCCGACCCCAUCGAAGGGACUCUUCCGCGCGGUGAAGUGACCGGUUACGAUUGGUUCAACAUGAUACCCAAAAAGAUGAAUCACCGACACAAGUCCUAAGGUCUGCAAAGUGCUGCUGCUGUUCCGUCUGCACCAGAUCAACAACCACCAUCUUCAAGCUGAACAUGGCCACCAAGAAAAUGCUGCGCAUCGCCGAUCCGUACUUCACUUACGGCUUCUUCUCACUCUAGUCGAUCCGCGACCUGGUCUAAAAGCGUGACUCCGUCAAGCACCGACAUUGCUGCAUCACAAUCACGGCCAAGAUCGAGCGCUGAACGCACUCAACCAGCUGGGCAGCAUUCAGAGAAAGAUCAACAUUCGCGCACUGGUCCCACCCCGCGGCACAUUUGUCCCGCAGCCUCCUUAGUUCGAUAUGAUUUUGUACAAUUAAUUGAAUAAAAUCCUGUUUUUCUGUUGA
This is a long non-coding RNA of Culex pipiens pallens (northern house mosquito), 1056 nucleotides long. RefSeq lists it as uncharacterized. NCBI's taxonomy places the organism in Eukaryota, Metazoa, Arthropoda, Insecta, Diptera, Culicidae. The transcript is spliced from 2 exons. The record is from RefSeq and is a predicted model, not a curated record.